UAAUUUAUAGCUUAUUAAAGUAUUUCAUUUACAUUGAAAAGAAAUUAUUAAAUUAAUUAAAUUAA
Molecule: transfer RNA, 65 nt
Filed under: Leptalina unicolor
Lineage: Eukaryota; Metazoa; Arthropoda; Insecta; Lepidoptera; Hesperiidae
Description: tRNA-Val
Rfam family: tRNA
About the family: Transfer RNA (tRNA) molecules are approximately 80 nucleotides in length. Their secondary structure includes four short double-helical elements and three loops (D, anti-codon, and T loops). Further hydrogen bonds mediate the characteristic L-shaped molecular structure. tRNAs have two regions of fundamental functional importance: the anti-codon, which is responsible for specific mRNA codon recognition, and the 3' end, to which the tRNAs corresponding amino acid is attached (by aminoacyl-tRNA synthetases). tRNAs cope with the degeneracy of the genetic code in two manners: having more than one tRNA (with a specific anti-codon) for a particular amino acid; and 'wobble' base-pairing, i.e. permitting non-standard base-pairing at the 3rd anti-codon position.
Source: RNAcentral